ACGCGGCGAGGGACACGCGCGGCGCCCGACGCCGGCCACGUCGGCGUCUGCGCCGUCACGUGGCCAUACGCCCCGCCCGUUCGCCAUCUUGGGGGCGGGGCUUGGGCGUCGGUGUCCCGCGUUCGGCGCUUCCGCUUGGGGCGCGGGACGAGUUGUCGCCCGAGCUGGACGCCUGGUCCCGGUGGCAGCCCAGUCCGCCGGGGACGCAGAGGGAGUGUGCUCGUUUAACAGUGGCCUUGUUUCUGUGUCACUUUAAAUGUGUCUCCUGCCUCUGCUUUUAGGUGAUGCCACUUAGCACGUCGCCGGCGGCUGUCGCCGUCGUACACAGACACCCUGCGUGUUUCGCUGAGGGUCUGGAGGGGCUGCUCAUGUAAAAAUGCUGGUUUGGGCUUUUUUUUCCUUUUUUCCGUGGCGCCGUGGAAGGCGGCUUGGGUGGACAGACCUGCAGGAGUCUGUCCUCCUCCGCUCCAGCAGGACGCGAAGGGCACGUGCCCCGACUCAGGAGCACCCCCCCCCCGCACUUACCAGUGACAAAGGGGAAAAGUAAGGUGGUGGUGGCCCCCCGUCACCCAGGGGGCGAAGUUAACAUCGCUAAUAAUGACAGCGACAUCACAGACCUGCUGGGACGUGCUGAGAGGGGCACAGUCUGAUCUUGAGCUUACCACUGGACAGAUGUGAAUCAAGGACAUUCUACAGAAUAACUGACAGGCUCCAGGAGUGUGUCCCAUAACAGACUGAGAAACCAUCACAGAAUGAGACACAGGAGGAAGAGCUGUUCAAAGUCUGAUGCAGUCCGUAGGGUGGUGGACGGGACAGGGAUAAUGCACUCUACUAAAUACGCAAUGUUGAUGUGGGUUUGAUUACAGAAGCUGGUAAAGUAUUGUGUAAGUGCUGGCAAAAAUAAAAGAAAUUCCAGGCUUUCAA
This is a long non-coding RNA of Ictidomys tridecemlineatus (thirteen-lined ground squirrel), 924 nucleotides long. RefSeq lists it as uncharacterized. Lineage: Eukaryota; Metazoa; Chordata; Mammalia; Rodentia; Sciuridae. The record is from RefSeq and is a predicted model, not a curated record.